UACAGAGGGUGCGAGCGCUAAUCGGAAUUACUGGGCGUAACGCGCACUCAGGCGGUCUGUCAAGUCGGUUGUGAAAUCCCCGGGCUCAACCUGGGAACUGCAUCCGAAACUGGCAGGCUAGAAUCUUGUAGAGGGGGGUAGAAUUCCAGGUGUAGCGGUGAAAUGCGUAGAGAUCUGGAGGAAUACCGGUGGCGAAGGCGGCCCCCUGGACAAAGACUGACGCUCAGGUGCGAGAGCGUGGGGAGCAAACAGG
This 253-nucleotide unclassified non-coding RNA is filed under the name uncultured Enterobacteriaceae bacterium. Its description in RNAcentral is "contains 16S-23S intergenic spacer region". It matches the Rfam family "Bacterial small subunit ribosomal RNA", at positions 524 to 776 of the family's 1533-position model. The record is from RNAcentral. Lineage: Bacteria; Pseudomonadati; Pseudomonadota; Gammaproteobacteria; Enterobacterales; Enterobacteriaceae.